AGUGAACGCUGGCGGUAGGCCUAACACAUGCAAGUCGAACGUCAGCACAGUAAGAGCUUGCUCUUACGGGUGGCGAGUGGCGGACGGGUGAGGAAUACAUCGGAAUCUACUUUUUCGUGGGGGAUAACGUAGGGAAACUUACGCUAAUACCGCAUACGACCUACGGGUGAAAGCAGGGGAUCUUCGGACCUUGCGCGAUUGAAUGAGCCGAUGUCGGAUUAGCUAGUUGGCGGGGUAAAGGCCCACCAAGGCGACGAUCCGUAGCUGGUCUGAGAGGAUGAUCAGCCACACUGGAACUGAGACACGGUCCAGACUACUACGGGAGGCAGCAGUGGGGAAUAUUGGACAAUGGGCGCAAGCCUGAUCCAGCCAUACCGCGUGGGUGAAGAAGGCCUUCGGGUUGUAAAGCCCUUUUGUUGGGAAAGAAAAGCAGCAGGUUAAUACCCCGCUGUUCUGACGGUACCCAAAGAAUAAGCACCGGCUAACUUCGUG
RNAcentral lists this ribosomal RNA (492 nucleotides) under uncultured bacterium. RNAcentral's name for it is "partial 16S ribosomal RNA". It matches the Rfam family "Bacterial small subunit ribosomal RNA", at positions 29 to 507 of the family's 1533-position model. The record is from RNAcentral.